CAAAUUAAAGCUUUUAUAGUUUUUCAUUUACAUUGAAAAGAGUCUUUUUUUUAGAUGAUUUGA
RNAcentral lists this transfer RNA (63 nucleotides) under Sininocellia chikun. Its description in RNAcentral is "tRNA-Val". The record is from RNAcentral. Lineage: Eukaryota; Metazoa; Arthropoda; Insecta; Raphidioptera; Inocelliidae.